This is a long non-coding RNA of Canis lupus familiaris (dog), 385 nucleotides long. RefSeq lists it as uncharacterized. The record is from RefSeq and is a predicted model, not a curated record. NCBI's taxonomy places the organism in Eukaryota, Metazoa, Chordata, Mammalia, Carnivora, Canidae. The transcript is spliced from 5 exons.
CCCGCGGUUCCCCGCGGUUCCCCGCGCUCCGGGCUCGCGGCAGCGGCUCUGCAGGCCUCGGCCCCCGGCGCGCAGAUCUGAUGAAGCCCAUCGAGUGUUCUCCGAGUGCUGAAGCAGCCUUGCACCCUGGCGAUUAACCCCACUGGGUCGUGAUCUGAUGAAGCCCAUCGAGUGUUCUCCGAGUGCUGAAGCAGCCUUGCACCCUGGCGAUUAACCCCACUGGGUCGUGAUCUGAUGAAGCCCAUCGAGUGUUCUCCGAGUGCUGAAGCAGCCUUGCACCCUGGCGAUUAACCCCACUGGGUCGUGAUCUGAUCAGUCACAUGGAGUGUUUGACAAGUGUUGAACCAGCCUUGCAUCCCGGGGAUAAAUGCUACCUGGUCACGGU